GGCUGACCUCUGAGGAUCACCCCUAUCCUCAGCCUCUUUCAAACGAACACCAGCCGAGGAGAGAGGUCAGGAGAAGACCCAUGAUAUUUUCCUGGGGCCUAAGUGGUUAUUUGGGGUUUAUUGCCAAUCAACAAUAAGAAGAAAACCUUAAAUUUACAUAGGACUUUAAGGAUUACAAAGUGCUUGCCACAUGGCAACCCUAUGAGAUGGGGUCACCAGCCUUCCAAAGGGGUCUAUGACACCCACAAAAGGUAAGAAUGUCAUGUGCUCUCCAGUCUAAGUAACUGUGGGCUCCAGUGACAUAGGAAGGCUCCAUGUAGAAGCUAGACUGUGCAGGACAGGUAGAGGAGGAUACGUUGGCAUAAAGAAGAAGGAACUUAAUAUCUGCUGCCUUCCCCUCGAAAGAAAGGAAAGUCCUCUGCUAUUGAGGAAGAGACAAGAGGAAAGUCACUUAUUCAGGGUUGGGACAGCUCUACCAGGGACACAGAAGUUCUCCACAUCGUCAUGGAGUGUGAAGCUAAACAUUUUCAGUUCAACAAGACAAGUUUCCUCCUUUCCUCCACCCUUGAUGUUUGAUCAGUCCCAGAAAUGUGUUCUGAUGAUAUCUUUGCAGAGUCUGUGUCCUGGACUGUAUUCAGAGUAUGAGAAGUGCCCAUCAGCCAUCUUUCUGUGAGGAACAAAUGAUCUCACCACUGUGAGAAUACACUGUGGAAUAGAACACUGUGGAAUAGAGGGGAAAGAGAAGAGGAGUGAAGGCUACACUGAGAAGGGAUGAGAAAUGACGAGUAUAUCAAAGAGCAGCUUUUCUCUCAGAGGAAAGAAGGUUAUAGAAUGCCUGAUUCUGGCAGACAAAACUUUGCCAGCUGCUGCAUGAGAUGGAUUCAUUGGAUGCUUUGGAAAAUAAAUGAAUGAAUGAAACACA
Molecule: long non-coding RNA, 922 nt
Filed under: Monodelphis domestica (gray short-tailed opossum)
Lineage: Eukaryota; Metazoa; Chordata; Mammalia; Didelphimorphia; Didelphidae
Description: lncRNA (ENSMODG00000040338.1)
Source: RNAcentral